Molecule: ribosomal RNA, 412 nt
Filed under: uncultured Glomeraceae
Lineage: Eukaryota; Fungi; Glomeromycota; Glomeromycetes; Glomerales; Glomeraceae
Description: partial 28S ribosomal RNA
Source: RNAcentral
GAGAGUUAAACAGUACGUGAAAUUGUUGAAAGGGAAACGAUUGAAGCCAGUCGUACCUAUGGGUAAUCAGCCUUUUGGGUGUGAUUUUGUGGAGCGUGAGGAGUUAAACGCCUUCAUGCCUGCAUAUUCGUGCACUUUGGGUGUACUUGCCCGUGUGUAAGUUAACAUCAAUUUUGGUGGUCAUAAAAUGGCUGGAGGAAUGUAGCUUUGAUCUUGUAUUGAAGUGUUAUAGCCUUCGGUAGAUGUGACGAUCGGGAUUGAGGAUUGCAACGGAUACCCUUCUGGGCUAUUCGUCUGAUCUCUGAAACGUUGCCUUGAUGUCGAAAGCUUGCUUAUGAUGUUAGGGUAUUACGGUCAAAAGGUUAGAACGGAUUAAAUUCGUUAAGGAUGUUGACGUAAUGACUUUAAACGA